Molecule: ribosomal RNA, 381 nt
Filed under: uncultured eukaryote
Lineage: Eukaryota
Description: partial 18S ribosomal RNA
Rfam family: Eukaryotic small subunit ribosomal RNA
Source: RNAcentral
CAAUAGCGUAUAUUAAAGUUGUUGCAGUUAAAAAGCUCGUAGUUGGAUUUCUGGUUGAAGCGACCGGUCGGGCGUUGAUUCGUCUGCACUGGAGUCGGUUUUGGCCAUCCUCUAGGAAAGUGCGUCUGGUAUUAAGUUAUCGGGCGUAUGAUCCUGGUCUUUUACUGUGAAAAAAUUAGAGUGUUUAAAGCAGGCCUUCGCCUUGAAUACAUUAGCAUGGAAUAAUAAGAUAGGACUUUGGUCUAUUUUGUUGGUUUGCAGACCGAAGUAAUGAUUAAUAGGGAUGGUUGGGGGUAUUUAUAUUCCGAUGUCAGAGGUGAAAUUCUUAGAUUUUCGGAAGAUAAACUUAUGCGAAAGCAUUUACCAAGGAUGUUUUCAUUA